AGAGGAAGUAAAAGUCGUAACAAGGUCUCCGUAGGUGAACCUGCGGAGGGAUCAUUACAAGAACGCCCGGGCUUCGGCCUGGUUAUUCAUAACCCUUUGUUGUCCGACUCUGUUGCCUCCGGGGCGACCCUGCCUUCGGGCGGGGGCUCCGGGUGGACACUUCAAACUCUUGCGUAACUUUGCAGUCUGAGUAAACUUAAUUAAUAAAUUAAAACUUUUAACAACGGAUCUCUUGGUUCUGGCAUCGAUGAAGAACGCAGCGAAAUGCGAUAAGUAAUGUGAAUUGCAGAAUUCAGUGAAUCAUCGAAUCUUUGAACGCACAUUGCGCCCCCUGGUAUUCCGGGGGGCAUGCCUGUUCGAGCGUCAUUUCACCACUCAAGCCUCGCUUGGUAUUGGGCAACGCGGUCCGCCGCGUGCCUCAAAUCGUCCGGCUGGGUCUUCUGUCCCCUAAGCGUUGUGGAAACUAUUCGCUAAAGGGUGUUCGGGAGGCUACGCCGUAAAACAACCCCAUUUCUAAGGUUGACCUCGGAUCAGGUAGGGAUACCCGCUGAACUUAAGCAUAU
RNAcentral lists this ribosomal RNA (563 nucleotides) under Cladosporium sp. MAB-2010c. Its description in RNAcentral is "eukaryotic LSU rRNA". The stretch from base 213 to 366 matches the Rfam family "5.8S ribosomal RNA". Lineage: Eukaryota; Fungi; Ascomycota; Dothideomycetes; Cladosporiales; Cladosporiaceae. The record is from RNAcentral.